CAGAUAUUUCCACACAAUACAAUCGUAGAAUUUAGACAUAGUUGAUGCAGUCAUUUACAUUUCAACUAAGCAGAUCAUGGUAUAAAAAAAGUUCGGUACUUGAAAUUCUAGCAAACCGCUGCUGCAAAUACACUAUCACAUGGUCUACAAUAUAUCUACACGGAUUAAAAAAUUUUCAACUACACAAAUGAAAAAUCAGUAUGUACGACAAUCGUCAAAACCAGUAUUUAGCUACACAAAAGACAAUG
This is a non-coding RNA of Schizosaccharomyces pombe (fission yeast), 248 nucleotides long. The record is from the annotation of a GenBank genome assembly. NCBI's taxonomy places the organism in Eukaryota, Fungi, Ascomycota, Schizosaccharomycetes, Schizosaccharomycetales, Schizosaccharomycetaceae.